UACAGAGAGUGCAAGCGUUAAUCGGAAUUACUGGGCGUAAAGCGCACGUAGGUGGGCGUUUAAGUCGGAUGUGAAAGCCCUGGGCUUAACCUAGGAACUGCAUCCGAUACUGGGCGUCUAGAGUAUGGUAGAGGGAAGUGGAAUUUCUGGUGUAGCGGUGAAAUGCGUAGAUAUCAGAAAGAACACCAGUGGCGAAGGCGGCUUCCUGGACUAAUACUGACACUGAGGUGCGAAAGCGUGGGGAGCAAAC
Molecule: ribosomal RNA, 250 nt
Filed under: uncultured bacterium
Lineage: Bacteria
Description: partial 16S ribosomal RNA
Rfam family: Bacterial small subunit ribosomal RNA
Source: RNAcentral